Molecule: ribosomal RNA, 253 nt
Filed under: uncultured bacterium
Lineage: Bacteria
Description: partial 16S ribosomal RNA
Rfam family: Bacterial small subunit ribosomal RNA
Source: RNAcentral
UACGAAGGGGGCUAGCGUUGCUCGGAAUUACUGGGCGUAAAGCGCACGUGGGCGGCUCUUUAAGUCGGGGGUGAAAUCCUGGAGCUCAACUCCAGAACUGCCUUCGAUACUGUAGAGCUUGAGUUCGGGAGAGGUGAGUGGAACUGCGAGUGUAGAGGUGAAAUUCGUAGAUAUUCGCAAGAACACCAGUGGCGAAGGCGGCUCACUGGCCCGAUACUGACGCUGAGGUGCGAAAGCGUGGGGAGCAAACAGG